ACUACGGAGAGUUUGAUCCUGGCUCAGGACGAACGCUGGCGGCGUGCUUAACACAUGCAAGUCUACGAGAAUAAGGUAGCAAUAUCUUUAGUAAAGUGGCGCACGGGUGAGUAACACGUAAGUAAUCUACCCUUAGAUUUGGAAUAACCCCGAGAAAUCGGGGCUAAUACGGAAUGAUGCAGCGGCAUCGCAUGAUGAUGUUGUUAAAGUCUAUAUGGCGUCUAAGGAUGAGCUUGCGUCUGAUUAGCUAGUUGGUGAGGUAAAGGCUCACCAAGGCUGCGAUCAGUAGCUGGUCUGAGAGGAUGAUCAGCCACACUGGAACUGAGACACGGUCCAGACUCCUACGGGAGGCAGCAGUGAGGAAUAUUGGGCAAUGCCCGAAAGGGUGACCCAGCAACGCCGCGUGGAGGAUGAAAGCCGUAAGGUUGUAAACUCCUGUUAGAGGGGAAGAACAAUCCCGAUCGACUCGGGACAUGACUGUACCCUCAGAGAAAGCUCCGGCUAACUACGUGCCAGCAGCCGCGGUAAUACGUAGGGAGCAAGCGUUGUCCGGAUUUACUGGGUGUAAAGGGCGCGCAGGCGGGUUGGCAAGUCAGAGGUGAAAUCCUACAGCUUAACUGUAGAACUGCCUUUGAUACUGCAGACCUUGAGUACGGAAGAGAGAGGCGGAAUUCCAGGUGUAGUGGUGAAAUAC
Molecule: ribosomal RNA, 694 nt
Filed under: Ignavibacteria bacterium
Lineage: Bacteria; Pseudomonadati; Ignavibacteriota; Ignavibacteria
Description: bacterial SSU rRNA
Rfam family: Bacterial small subunit ribosomal RNA
Source: RNAcentral